UGGAGAACUGAGGGGGGCUGCUCCUAGUACGAGAGGACCGGAGUGGACGCAUCACUGGUGUUCGGGUUGUCAUGCCAAUGGCACUGCCCGGUAGCUAAAUGCGGAAGAGAUAAGUGCUGAAAGCAUCUAAGCACGAAACUUGCCCCGAGAUGAGUUCUCCCUGACUCCUUGAGAGUCCUGAAGGAACGUUGAAGACGACGACGUUGAUAGGCCGGGUGUGUAAGCGCAGCGAUGCGUUGAGCUAACCGGUACUAAUGAACCGUGAGGCUUAACCUUACAACGCCGAAGCUGUU
Molecule: ribosomal RNA, 293 nt
Filed under: Escherichia coli
Lineage: Bacteria; Pseudomonadati; Pseudomonadota; Gammaproteobacteria; Enterobacterales; Enterobacteriaceae
Description: partial 23S ribosomal RNA
Rfam family: Bacterial large subunit ribosomal RNA
Source: RNAcentral